This 253-nucleotide ribosomal RNA is filed under the name uncultured bacterium. RNAcentral's name for it is "partial 16S ribosomal RNA". It matches the Rfam family "Bacterial small subunit ribosomal RNA", at positions 524 to 776 of the family's 1533-position model. The record is from RNAcentral.
GACGUAGGAGGCGAGCGUUGUCCGGAUUCAUUGGGCGUAAAGAGCGCGCAGGCGGCUUGGUAAGUCGGAUGUGAAAUCCCGAGGCUCAACCUCGGGUCUGCAUCCGAUACUGCCCGGCUAGAGGUAGGUAGGGGAGAUCGGAAUUCCUGGUGUAGCGGUGAAAUGCGCAGAUAUCGGGAGGAACACCGGUGGCGAAGGCGGUUCUCUGGGCCUUACCUGACGCUGAGGAGCGAAAGCGUGGGGAGCGAACAGG